UAGGGAAUCUUCCGCAAUGGGCGAAAGCCUGCCGGAGCAACGCCGCGUGAGUGAUGAAGGUCUUCGGAUCGUAAAACUCUGUUAUUAGGGAAGAACAAAUGUGUAAGUAACUAUGCACGUCUUGACGGUACCUAAUCAGAAAGCCACGGCUAACUACGUGCCAGCAGCCGCGGUAAUACGUAGGGUGCGAGCGUUGUCCGGAAUUACUGGGCGUAAAGAGCUCGUAGGUGGUUUGUCGCGUCGUCUGUGAAAUUCCGGGGCUUAACUCCGGGCGUGCAGGCGAUACGGGCUGACUUGAGUGCUGUAGGGGAGACUGGAAUUCCUGGUGUAGCGGUGAAAUGCGCAGAUAUCAGGAGGAACACCGAUGGCGAAGGCAGGUCUCUGGGCAGUAACUGACGCUGAGGAGCGAAAGCAUGGGUAGCGAACAGG
Molecule: ribosomal RNA, 429 nt
Filed under: Actinomycetes bacterium
Lineage: Bacteria; Bacillati; Actinomycetota; Actinomycetes
Description: Actinobacteria bacterium partial 16S ribosomal RNA
Rfam family: Bacterial small subunit ribosomal RNA
Source: RNAcentral